AUAACUCGCUGUGAGGCUUACAGUGAAUGUGAUUACUUCCACAGUCCCUGUUUCUUGUGACAAUGACAUCAAGAAAUUCACCUGCUGCCUUUCGGACACCGUCAUGAUCCUAAGUACCAACCUUCCCCGUGGGCUGCGGGUGGCCCCCAUGGAGCAGCAACGUCACGCUCACCGCGCUGCCGUACUUCCAUUACACGUCUGCAAGCGAAAUCAAACCUGGGGGAUUUCUUCCUAGCGCUCCAGCCCUGCAGCCACACCGCAGAAUACAAAUGCCGGGCUGACGCACGCGCUUGGCGCUCGGCUCGCCGCCCCAGGGACCGUCAGCGGGCUGCAAGCCUUGAAGGGCUUGAGGCUCGUUAACACCAGGCUUUAAAUAACCGCGGUGCUGGGGGAGCGGGUGCUGCGUGUCCCUGCGGCGUGUAUUUAUGUGUGUGAGCGCGUUUGGUUUGACAACAGGAGUGAAAGAGCACUUGUUCCUUUGCUUCUCAGGUAGCAGCCCUAUGGAAAAGCAUCAAGGCAUCACCAGCGUUGUGCUUCCCAGCAUGCUCUAGCAUCCUUUCAAACAAGCAUUUGCUGUAGCAGAAAGUCCAAGAAAAGGCUUACUCCCUCGAGGAUCAAGAAGAAAGCAACAGUGAAGAAAGGACCGGUGGCAGCACGGAGAAUACGGAAAGCAGAUAAAGAGGAAAAUGAGGAGGUGGAGGUGAGCAGAAGGCAGCUCAGAAAAUUGCACAAGCUGUGGGGAAUUUUUGCAUCUAGCCGCUCGCACACCGCAAAGGGAGCGACUCUGCCAUCUGCAUCUCCUCUCAAAAAAAAAGGAAGGGAGAAGAGGGACAGAAUGGAGACAAAAAAAGAAAUCCACCUGUUGUGCCUCUUGUUUUGGCUGUGGUAGGAUGGAUCCAUGCUGAAUGCCUGCUGUGGGAGGGGAGGGAAGCCAACGGAGGUAUUGUUGUGUCUGAGGAGGCACCACGCGUGAGUCCUCUGCAUGGCUCUGUCCUACUGACACACUGGGAAGAGGAGGGAGGAACUAUUUUAAUCUCAUUGAGGCUGCUGAAGAGUAAAAAUGGAAGUAAUUAAAGGCCUGCUCUAGUCUCACUUAAAUCCCUUAGUCUUCAGGCCAGAGUUAUUUUUGUUACAUUGCUUUAAUGGUGUUGCAUUGAUGUUUAAAC
This 1166-nucleotide long non-coding RNA is filed under the name Anser brachyrhynchus (Pink-footed goose). RNAcentral describes it as "lncRNA (ENSABRG00000004275.1)". The record is from RNAcentral. Lineage: Eukaryota; Metazoa; Chordata; Aves; Anseriformes; Anatidae.